This 1030-nucleotide ribosomal RNA is filed under the name Escherichia coli. RNAcentral describes it as "partial 23S ribosomal RNA". It matches the Rfam family "Bacterial large subunit ribosomal RNA", at positions 122 to 1194 of the family's 2925-position model. The record is from RNAcentral. Lineage: Bacteria; Pseudomonadati; Pseudomonadota; Gammaproteobacteria; Enterobacterales; Enterobacteriaceae.
GGAAACCCAGUGUGUUUCGACACACUAUCAUUAACUGAAUCCAUAGGUUAAUGAGGCGAACCGGGGGAACUGAAACAUCUAAGUACCCCGAGGAAAAGAAAUCAACCGAGAUUCCCCCAGUAGCGGCGAGCGAACGGGGAGCAGCCCAGAGCCUGAAUCAGUAUGUGUGUUAGUGGAAGCGUCUGGAAAGGCGCGCGAUACAGGGUGACAGCCCCGUACACAAAAAUGCACAUGCUGUGAGCUCGAUGAGUAGGGCGGGACACGUGGUAUCCUGUCUGAAUAUGGGGGGACCAUCCUCCAAGGCUAAAUACUCCUGACUGACCGAUAGUGAACCAGUACCGUGAGGGAAAGGCGAAAAGAACCCCGGCGAGGGGAGUGAAAAAGAACCUGAAACCGUGUACGUACAAGCAGUGGGAGCACGCUUAGGCGUGUGACUGCGUACCUUUUGUAUAAUGGGUCAGCGACUUAUAUUCUGUAGCAAGGUUAACCGAAUAGGGGAGCCGAAGGGAAACCGAGUCUUAACUGGGCGUUAAGUUGCAGGGUAUAGACCCGAAACCCGGUGAUCUAGCCAUGGGCAGGUUGAAGGUUGGGUAACACUAACUGGAGGACCGAACCGACUAAUGUUGAAAAAUUAGCGGAUGACUUGUGGCUGGGGGUGAAAGGCCAAUCAAACCGGGAGAUAGCUGGUUCUCCCCGAAAGCUAUUUAGGUAGCGCCUCGUGAAUUCAUCUCCGGGGGUAGAGCACUGUUUCGGCAAGGGGGUCAUCCCGACUUACCAACCCGAUGCAAACUGCGAAUACCGGAGAAUGUUAUCACGGGAGACACACGGCGGGUGCUAACGUCCGUCGUGAAGAGGGAAACAACCCAGACCGCCAGCUAAGGUCCCAAAGUCAUGGUUAAGUGGGAAACGAUGUGGGAAGGCCCAGACAGCCAGGAUGUUGGCUUAGAAGCAGCCAUCAUUUAAAGAAAGCGUAAUAGCUCACUGGUCGAGUCGGCCUGCGCGGAAGAUGUAACGGGGCUAAACCAUGCAC